RNAcentral lists this long non-coding RNA (208 nucleotides) under Gossypium raimondii (Peruvian cotton). Its description in RNAcentral is "long non-coding RNA (GRAI_LNC006084)". The record is from RNAcentral. Lineage: Eukaryota; Viridiplantae; Streptophyta; Magnoliopsida; Malvales; Malvaceae.
GGAGCAAAAACACGCAAACUUUGACUGCGGGUCGGGUCGACGCGCGGGUAGGAGGGGACAAGGACCAAAACGGUGCCGUUUUAGGGCUAUUGGAUCAGCUCUAAACGGCGUUGUAUCGCCCGGCCUAUAAAGGGUAAAAAAAAUAAAAAAAAGUAAUUAUUCUCUUCAUUUUAAAAAAAAAGGCUGAACCUCUCUCUCUCUCUCUCCC